Hyla sarda is the source of this 298-nucleotide long non-coding RNA. RefSeq lists it as uncharacterized. The record is from RefSeq and is a predicted model, not a curated record. The transcript has 3 exons. NCBI's taxonomy places the organism in Eukaryota, Metazoa, Chordata, Amphibia, Anura, Hylidae.
CCCUUAUGGUGACUAUUUAGGCCAACCUGUCCAGUGGAAAAGUUGGUGAGUUGCCCAUAGUAACCAAUGAGAUCAAUGAGCGCAGACAGAACAGACCUGCCGUGGGGGCUGAAGAGGCACCUACUUUUAUCAGAUCGGAAGUGGGCGGAGCUUAUGUCCCCUUCAGGGUCAUAUUUAAAGGAAUACUGUAGUGGAAGGAUUGUUUGACUGUGCGCACAGUAGCCGGCACAACUGCACGGCUCCCCGGCACAGCGGGUUUGCGCAGGAGACGAGCGUGGACGCAGCAACUCAAACAGUG